GCCCUCAUAGCUCAGUUGGAUAGAGCGCGCCCCUCCUAAGGGUGAAACCUGCGUUCGAAUCGCGGUGGGGGUA
This 73-nucleotide transfer RNA is filed under the name Fibrobacter sp. Its description in RNAcentral is "tRNA-Arg". It matches the Rfam family "tRNA". Rfam says of the family: Transfer RNA (tRNA) molecules are approximately 80 nucleotides in length. Lineage: Bacteria; Pseudomonadati; Fibrobacterota; Fibrobacteria; Fibrobacterales; Fibrobacteraceae. The record is from RNAcentral.